This 305-nucleotide ribosomal RNA is filed under the name uncultured bacterium. Its description in RNAcentral is "bacterial SSU rRNA". It matches the Rfam family "Bacterial small subunit ribosomal RNA", at positions 339 to 658 of the family's 1533-position model. The record is from RNAcentral.
CCACGGGACGCAGCAGUGGGGAAUAUUGGGCGAUGGGCGCAAGCCUGACCCAGCAACGCCGCGUGAAGGAAGAAGGCUUUCGGGUUGUAAACUUCUUUUGUCAGGGAUGAAGCAAGUGACGGUACCUGACGAAUAAGCCACGGCUAACUACGUGCCAGCAGCCGCGGUAAUACGUAGGUGGCAAGCGUUAUCCGGAUUUACUGGGUGUAAAGGGCGUGUAGGCGGGGAGGCAAGUCAGAUGUGAAAACCACGGGCUCAACCUGUGGCCUGCAUUUGAAACUGGUUUUCUUGAGUGCUGGAGAGGG